Molecule: ribosomal RNA, 426 nt
Filed under: Serratia ureilytica
Lineage: Bacteria; Pseudomonadati; Pseudomonadota; Gammaproteobacteria; Enterobacterales; Yersiniaceae
Also listed under: 1 other name
Description: bacterial SSU rRNA
Rfam family: Bacterial small subunit ribosomal RNA
Source: RNAcentral
AUCCUUUGUUGCCAGCGGUUCGGCCGGGAACUCAAAGGAGACUGCCAGUGAUAAACUGGAGGAAGGUGGGGAUGACGUCAAGUCAUCAUGGCCCUUACGAGUAGGGCUACACACGUGCUACAAUGGCAUAUACAAAGAGAAGCGACCUCGCGAGAGCAAGCGGACCUCAUAAAGUAUGUCGUAGUCCGGAUUGGAGUCUGCAACUCGACUCCAUGAAGUCGGAAUCGCUAGUAAUCGUAGAUCAGAAUGCUACGGUGAAUACGUUCCCGGGCCUUGUACACACCGCCCGUCACACCAUGGGAGUGGGUUGCAAAAGAAGUAGGUAGCUUAACCUUCGGGAGGGCGCUUACCACUUUGUGAUUCAUGACUGGGGUGAAGUCGUAACAAGGUAACCGUAGGGGAACCUGCGGUUGGAUCACCUCCUUA